This is a non-coding RNA of Helianthus annuus (common sunflower), 106 nucleotides long. The record is from Rfam. Lineage: Eukaryota; Viridiplantae; Streptophyta; Magnoliopsida; Asterales; Asteraceae.
AUGUCGUGAUGUGGGCAAUUAUUGAGUAACAUUUUAAAUCGGUUGAACCCUUCAUGAAACAGUUCACCAGUCUGUUGUUGGAAGUUUUUGAUAUCUUUCCGAGCAU